This 274-nucleotide ribosomal RNA is filed under the name uncultured bacterium. Its description in RNAcentral is "partial 16S ribosomal RNA". It matches the Rfam family "Bacterial small subunit ribosomal RNA", at positions 523 to 796 of the family's 1533-position model. The record is from RNAcentral.
AUACGGAGGUGGUUAGCGUUGUUCGGAAUUACUGGGCGUAAAGCGCACGUAGGCGGACUGGAAAGUUGGGGGUGAAAUCCCGGGGCUCAACCCCGGAACUGCCUCCAAAACUUCCAAUCUAGAGAUCGAGAGAGGUGAGUGGAAUUCCAAGUGUAGAGGUGAAAUUCGUAGAUAUUUGGAGGAACACCAGUGGCGAAGGCGGCUCACUGGCUCGAUACUGACGCUGAGGUGCGAAAGCGUGGGGAGCAAACAGGAUUAGAAACCCUAGUAGUCC